This 777-nucleotide ribosomal RNA is filed under the name uncultured Neocallimastigales. Its description in RNAcentral is "partial large subunit ribosomal RNA". It matches the Rfam family "Eukaryotic large subunit ribosomal RNA", at positions 23 to 631 of the family's 3401-position model. Lineage: Eukaryota; Fungi; Neocallimastigomycota; Neocallimastigomycetes; Neocallimastigales. The record is from RNAcentral.
GAGACUCUGUGCGCGUGCAUAUCAAUAAGCGGAGGAAAAGAAACUAACAAGGAUUCCCUUAGUAACGGCGAGUGAAGCGGGAAGAGCUCAAAUUUGAAAUCUUCAAGGUUCUACCUUGACGAAUUGUAGUUUAUAGAAGUGUUUUCUGUUAGUGGAGUGGCAAAAGUUCUUUGGAAUAGGACAUCAUAGAGGGUGAGAAUCCCGUAUUUGGUCAUUCCUCCUAGCGUUGUGAUACACUUUCAACGAGUCGGAUUGUUUGGGAAUGCAGUCCAAAAUGGGUGGUAAAUUUCAUCUAAAGCUAAAUAUUGGCGAGAGACCGAUAGCGAACAAGUACCGUGAGGGAAAGAUGAAAAGAACUUUGAAAAGAGAGUUAAACAGUACGUGAAAUUGUCAAAAGGGAAGCGUUUGACACCAGUGUUGUUUUUCCGAAAAUCAAUUACGAAUGUUUUGUUUUUGAGGAGUUAUGACUUCAUCGGCUUGCUCCUUUCUUUACGAAACUUUCUUAAUGCACUUUUCGGUUAACAAGUCAACAUCAAUUUCUUUUGUUGUAAAAGGGUAUGAGGAAGGUGGCUUUCUUUUCGGAUGAAAGUGUUUAUAGCCUUGUAGCCUCUGCAGUCGGAGAGAUUGAGGUCUGCAGCGUAGAUCCUUCGGGGUUAGAUACAGUUUGUGCUAAGUUAUAGCUUUUCAUAGACAACUUGUUGACUAUGUUUAGUCUUGUAGCUUACUCGCUGAUGCUAUUUUACCUACGCUUAGGAUGUUGACAGCAGUAUAGACUGU